GUGCUCGCUUCAGCAGCACGUUUGCCAAGACUAGAAUGAUACGGACAUCAGCGUGACCCCUGUGCAGAGAUGACACACAAAGUCAAGAAACGUGCCAUACUCUU
This is a small nuclear RNA of Lynx canadensis (Canada lynx), 104 nucleotides long. NCBI's taxonomy places the organism in Eukaryota, Metazoa, Chordata, Mammalia, Carnivora, Felidae. The record is from Ensembl.